Molecule: ribosomal RNA, 430 nt
Filed under: uncultured Syntrophaceae bacterium
Lineage: Bacteria; Pseudomonadati; Thermodesulfobacteriota; Syntrophia; Syntrophales; Syntrophaceae
Description: bacterial SSU rRNA
Rfam family: Bacterial small subunit ribosomal RNA
Source: RNAcentral
UGAGGAAUCUUGCGCAAUGGGGGAAACCCUGACGCAGCAACGCCGCGUGAGUGAUGAAGGCCUUCGGGUCGUAAAGCUCUGUCAGAUGGGAAGAAAGUUUCGGCGGUGAACAAUCGCCGGGAUUGACGGUACCGUCAGAGGAAGCACCGGCUAACUCCGUGCCAGCAGCCGCGGUAAUACGGAGGGUGCAAGCGUUGUUCGGAAUCAUUGGGCGUAAAGAGCGUGUAGGCGGUCGGGUAAGUCAGAUGUGAAAUCCCUUGGCUUAACCAAGGAAGUGCAUUUGAAACUGCCCGGCUUGAGUACGGGAGGGGGAAGUGGAAUUCCCGGUGUAGAGGUGAAAUUCGUAGAUAUCGGGAGGAACACCGGUGGCGAAGGCGGCUUCCUGGACCGAUACUGACGCUGAGACGCGAAAGCGUGGGGAGCAAACAGG